Molecule: ribosomal RNA, 252 nt
Filed under: uncultured bacterium
Lineage: Bacteria
Description: partial 16S ribosomal RNA
Rfam family: Bacterial small subunit ribosomal RNA
Source: RNAcentral
GAUCCUACGGGAGGCAGCAGUGGGGAAUAUUGGGCAAUGGGCGCAAGCCUGACCCAGCAACGCCGCGUGAAGGAAGAAGGCUUUCGGGUUGUAAACUUCUUUUAUGAGGGACGAAACAAAUGACGGUACCUCAUGAAUAAUCCACGGCUAACUACGUGCCAGCAGCCGCGGUAAUACGUAGGUGGCAAGCGUUAUCCGGAUUUACUGGGGGUAAAGGGCGUGUAGGCGGGACUGCAAGUCAGAUUUGACAAU